GUUUCCAUAGUAUAGUGGUUAGUACGCUGCUUUGUGGUUAUCUAAUCACUGUCUCGCAGCAGAGACGCGUGUUCGAUUCACGCUGGGAACA
Transfer RNA from Cryptococcus amylolentus CBS 6039, 91 nucleotides. It matches the Rfam family "tRNA". From Rfam's summary of the family: Transfer RNA (tRNA) molecules are approximately 80 nucleotides in length. Their secondary structure includes four short double-helical elements and three loops (D, anti-codon, and T loops). Further hydrogen bonds mediate the characteristic L-shaped molecular structure. tRNAs have two regions of fundamental functional importance: the anti-codon, which is responsible for specific mRNA codon recognition, and the 3' end, to which the tRNAs corresponding amino acid is attached (by aminoacyl-tRNA synthetases). tRNAs cope with the degeneracy of the genetic code in two manners: having more than one tRNA (with a specific anti-codon) for a particular amino acid; and 'wobble' base-pairing, i.e. permitting non-standard base-pairing at the 3rd anti-codon position. The record is from Rfam. NCBI's taxonomy places the organism in Eukaryota, Fungi, Basidiomycota, Tremellomycetes, Tremellales, Cryptococcaceae.